Daphnia pulicaria is the source of this 324-nucleotide long non-coding RNA. RefSeq lists it as uncharacterized. NCBI's taxonomy places the organism in Eukaryota, Metazoa, Arthropoda, Branchiopoda, Diplostraca, Daphniidae. The transcript has 3 exons. The record is from RefSeq and is a predicted model, not a curated record.
UCACGUCAAAUGUUUGUGUUUGGUAACAUUUGUUGAGGUCAGGCCAUGGUUGAGGUAAAGAAAGAUUUAAUAGUUUGCUUAAAAAAUCGAAGAUAGGAUAUAUUUUGAUAUUGCUUGGUAAACUCCUGUAAGGUAAUUAUGUCAUGUCAUUUGACGUGAAUGGAAACAGUCAUUGAUUUAAAAUGAUGGCAAGGUGUAUAUGGCAACAGUUAUGCUCAUAAAGAAAUGUGGGAAAAUGAAAAACAGUUUGUCAACUGUUGGUGGAUCAGAAACUUCAACAGGGACAGAAAACGAAAAACGCCAAAACAAGAUCUUUUGGAGUUU